GUUUCUUCCCCAAAUUCGUCAUUGUUCUUCUUGAGUUCAAAUCCUAAAUUAGAGUUGUAAAUUGUCAUUUUCAUCAAAUCAAGGUAAUAUUCUAACUUUCUAUGCUUAAAUAAAGAGUGAUGUUAAUUCAAAUCGAAUUUUAAAUGAGUAGAUUUGGAUUAGAUAUUUUUAAAGUAUGUUUGGAUUAAAAAAAUGGUAGAUCUCGAAAUAUUGAGUAAGCUUGUGUUUUUGAAGUUAUUUUUUAUUCAUUCUACCCUAAUUAGAAGGUAUUUCACUUCAAUUUGAUAGUUCAUAACCGAAUUUUUAAGAAUAAAGUGUUUUCCCCUUUUACAUGUUCUUAAAAGCUUCUAUUUUUUGAAAAAAUUAGGAUUACAUAUUAAGGUGAAAUUAGUUGUUUAGAUAUGAUAUUAAAUGUUAUUUAAGAUUUUUGAAAUCAAAAUGGAGGUUUAGAAACAAGGUUAGGGUGUCAACUUUAUUUUCGACAAAACUAGCUAGUUUUCGAUAGUGAAAAAGGAGAGGCUUGAAUUGUGUAUUUCUUGUUGUUCGGUUGUGUGCAAGGCUAUUUUUUGAUGAGUUUGGAAUAUGUUUGUUAUGUGUGUUAAGUGUUGGGUCAAUCGGAAGCCACUAUGAACAAGCCUAAAGGUAAGAAAAAGCUUGUUUAAGCUUUCGACUUGUAAGCAGAAGUGUAAUUGGUGAGUGUCCGGAGUCGCUGCUGGUAUGUGUGAUUCAUAGCAUUAAUCGAG
RNAcentral lists this long non-coding RNA (743 nucleotides) under Gossypium barbadense (sea-island cotton). RNAcentral's name for it is "long non-coding RNA (GBAR_LNC020275)". Lineage: Eukaryota; Viridiplantae; Streptophyta; Magnoliopsida; Malvales; Malvaceae. The record is from RNAcentral.